This 493-nucleotide ribosomal RNA is filed under the name uncultured eukaryote. Its description in RNAcentral is "SSU rRNA". It matches the Rfam family "Eukaryotic small subunit ribosomal RNA", at positions 202 to 695 of the family's 1831-position model. The record is from RNAcentral.
UGUAUUUAUUAGAUAAAAAACCAAUGCCCUUCGGGGCUUUUUGGUGAUUCAUGAUAACUUUACGGAUCGCAUAGCCUUGCGCUGGCGACGGUUCAUUCAAAUUUCUGCCCUAUCAACUUUCGAUGGUAAGGUAUUGGCUUACCAUGGUUUCAACGGGUAACGGGGAAUUAGGGUUCGAUUCCGGAGAGGGAGCCUGAGAAACGGCUACCACAUCCAAGGAAGGCAGCAGGCGCGCAAAUUACCCAAUCCCGACACGGGGAGGUAGUGACAAUAAAUACUGAUACAGGGCUCUUUUGGGUCUUGUAAUUGGAAUGAGUACAAUUUAAACCUCUUAACGAGGAACAAUUGGAGGGCAAGUCUGGUGCCAGCAGCCGCGGUAAUUCCAGCUCCAAUAGCGUAUAUUAAAGUUGUUGCAGUUAAAAAGCUCGUAGUUGAAACUUGGGCCUGGCUGGCGGGUCCGCCUCACCGCGUGCACUCGUCCGGCCGGGCCUUC